AGGGGGCGAGCGUUAUCCGGAUUCAUUGGGCGUAAAGAGCGCGUAGGCGUCCUGUCGCGCGGCACCGUCGAAGCCGGGGGCUCAACCCCCGGAAGCGGGCCGAACGGGCAGGAUCGAGUGCGGUAGGGGCAGGCGGAAUUCCCGGUGUAGCGGUGAAAUGCGCAGAUCUCGGGAAGAACACCGACGGCGAAGGCAGCCUGCUGGGCCGGCACUGACGCUGAGGCGCGAAAGCUGGGGGAGCGAA
RNAcentral lists this ribosomal RNA (244 nucleotides) under uncultured bacterium. Its description in RNAcentral is "partial 16S ribosomal RNA". It matches the Rfam family "Bacterial small subunit ribosomal RNA", at positions 529 to 772 of the family's 1533-position model. The record is from RNAcentral.